GAGCUUGCUCUUAUGAAGUUAGCGGCGGACGGGUGAGUAACACGUGGGUAACCUACCCAUAAGACUGGGAUAACUCCGGGAAACCGGGGCUAAUACCGGAUAAUAUUUUGAACUGCAUAGUUCGAAAUUGAAAGGCGGCUUCGGCUGUCACUUAUGGAUGGACCCGCGUCGCAUUAGCUAGUUGGUGAGGUAACGGCUCACCAAGGCGACGAUGCGUAGCCGACCUGAGAGGGUGAUCGGCCACACUGGGACUGAGACACGGCCCAGACUCCUACGGGAGGCAGCAGUAGGGAAUCUUCCGCAAUGGACGAAAGUCUGACGGAGCAACGCCGCGUGAGUGAUGAAGGCUUUCGGGUCGUAAAACUCUGUUGUUAGGGAAGAACAAGUGCUAGUUGAAUAAGCUGGCACCUUGACGGUACCUAACCAGAAAGCCACGGCUAACUACGUGCCAGCAGCCGCGGUAAUACGUAGGUGGCAAGCGUUAUCCGGAAUUAUUGGGCGUAAAGCGCGCGCAGGUGGUUUCUUAAGUCUGAUGUGAAAGCCCACGGCUCAACCGUGGAGGGUCAUUGGAAACUGGGAGACUUGAGUGCAGAAGAGGAAAGUGGAAUUCCAUGUGUAGCGGUGAAAUGCGUAGAGAUAUGGAGGAACACCAGUGGCGAAGGCGACUUUCUGGUCUGUAA
This 680-nucleotide ribosomal RNA is filed under the name Bacillus sp. TAD189. Its description in RNAcentral is "bacterial SSU rRNA". It matches the Rfam family "Bacterial small subunit ribosomal RNA", at positions 76 to 739 of the family's 1533-position model. Lineage: Bacteria; Bacillati; Bacillota; Bacilli; Caryophanales; Bacillaceae. The record is from RNAcentral.